This 1015-nucleotide ribosomal RNA is filed under the name uncultured bacterium. RNAcentral describes it as "bacterial SSU rRNA". It matches the Rfam family "Bacterial small subunit ribosomal RNA", at positions 385 to 1401 of the family's 1533-position model. The record is from RNAcentral.
GAUCCAGCCAUGCCGCGUGCAGGAAGACGGCCUUAUGGGUUGUAAACUGCUUUUAUACGGGAGCAAUAAGGGUUACGAGUAAUCCGAUGAGAGUACUGUAUGAAUAAGGAUCGGCUAACUCCGUGCCAGCAGCCGCGGUAAUACGGAGGAUCCGAGCGUUAUCCGGAAUUAUUGGGUUUAAAGGGUGCGUAGGCGGCCAUUUAAGUCAGCGGUGAAAUUUUGCAGCUUAACUGUAACAGUGCCGUUGAUACUGUUUGGCUAGGAUUUGGUUGUAGUGUGCGGAAUGUGUGGUGUAGCGGUGAAAUGCUUAGAUAUCACACAGAACACCGAUUGCGAAGGCAGCACACUAAGUCAUUAUUGACGCUGAGGCACGAAAGUGUGGGGAUCAAACAGGAUUAGAUACCCUGGUAGUCCACACUGUAAACGAUGAUAACUCGCUGUCGGCGAUACACAGUCGGUGGCCAAGCGAAAGCAUUAAGUUAUCCACCUGGGGAGUACGACCGCAAGGUUGAAACUCAAAGGAAUUGACGGGGGCCCGCACAAGCGGAGGAACAUGUGGUUUAAUUCGAUGAUACGCGAGGAACCUUACCUGGGCUUAAAUGUAUAGUGCAUAAUAUGGAAACAUAUUUUUCCUUCGGGACUCUUUACAAGGUGCUGCAUGGUUGUCGUCAGCUCGUGCCGUGAGGUGUCGGGUUAAGUCCCAUAACGAGCGCAACCCUCAUCGCCAGNNACCAGCAUGUAAUGAUGGGGACUCUGGUGAAACUGCCGGUGUAAACCGUGAGGAAGGUGGGGAUGACGUCAAAUCAGCACGGCCCUUAUGUCCAGGGCUACACACGUGUUANNAUGGCCAAUACAAAGGGCAGCCACCCGGCGACGGGGUGCUAAUCCAUAAAGUUGGUCUUAGUUCGGAUCGGAGUCUGCAACUCGACUCCGUGAAGCUGGAUUCGCUAGUAAUCGUAGAUCAGCCAUGCUACGGUGAAUACGUUCCCGGGCCUUGUAAACACCGCCCGUCAAG